CCUACGGGAGGCAGCAGUAAGGAAUAUUGGACAAUGGACGAAAGUCUGAUCCAGCCAUGCCGCGUGCAGGGAUGACAAGCCCUAUGGGUUGUAAACUGCUUUUAUACAGGAAGAAACACUCGCGACGUGUCGGAGCUUGACGGUACUGUAAGAAUAAGGAUCGGCUAACUCCGUGCCAGCAGCCGCGGUAAUACGGAGGAUCCAAGCGUUAUCCGGAAUCAUUGGGUUUAAAGGGUCCGCAGGCGGUCUUUUAAGUCAGAGGUGAAAUCCCACAGCUCAACUGUGGAACUGCCUUUGAUACUGAAAGACUUGAGUUAUUGUGAAGUGGUUAGAAUGUGUGGUGUAGCGGUGAAAUGCAUAGAUAUCACACAGAAUACCGAUUGCGAAGGCAGUCCACUAACAAUAUACUGACGCUCAUGGACGAAAGGCGUGGGGAAGCCGAACAGGAUUAGAUACCCUGGUAG
This 464-nucleotide ribosomal RNA is filed under the name uncultured bacterium. RNAcentral's name for it is "bacterial SSU rRNA". It matches the Rfam family "Bacterial small subunit ribosomal RNA", at positions 338 to 793 of the family's 1533-position model. The record is from RNAcentral.